GGCCAGGAGAGGACUGGAUAGGAAGCCUGGCUGGUGAAUGAUGCUUCUCAGGCAAGACUGAGACAAAUUUGGAGGCUCCUGUGUUGGUGCCCUGUAGCCUGGAGCCAAGCCACCGCAGACCUGGCUCCCCUUCACUUCAGGACUGCUGCAGAAAGCACUGGGUAUUUUUCCACUGGAGGAAGGCUUAGAGUGUAUGUGGUGAUAAAACUCCUCCUUGAAGAUGACUCAGCUGUUCUGAUCUUCUGCCAAAGUCCUAUUCAAGAGAGUUGAAGGAGGCUCCAGACAGGGAAGGUAGACUGCCUGCAGCGGGAAAGUUCUCUGUUUCCAGUCCAUCUUGUCAGUUCUACCUGCAAAGAGUAUCCCAAAUCUGACUAUCAGUCUCCAGCUCCGCUGUGUUGUCCUGGACCCCUGAAGCCAUUGUCCUAGACUACUAAGUCGUCUCCAUGCUUUCACACUCAACUUCCUAUUCAUCCUGCC
Molecule: long non-coding RNA, 477 nt
Organism: Bos taurus (domestic cattle)
Lineage: Eukaryota; Metazoa; Chordata; Mammalia; Artiodactyla; Bovidae
Source: Ensembl